This 450-nucleotide ribosomal RNA is filed under the name uncultured bacterium. RNAcentral's name for it is "bacterial SSU rRNA". It matches the Rfam family "Bacterial small subunit ribosomal RNA", at positions 328 to 792 of the family's 1533-position model. The record is from RNAcentral.
UGUCCAGACUCCUACGGGAGGCAGCAGUGGGGAAUAUUGCACAAUGGGCGAAAGCCUGAUGCAGCAACGCCGCGUGAAGGAAGAAGGGUUUCGGCUCGUAAACUUCUAUCAACAGGGACGAAAGAAAUGACGGUACCUGAAUAAGAAGCCCCGGCUAACUACGUGCCAGCAGCCGCGGUAAUACGUAGGGGGCAAGCGUUAUCCGGAUUUACUGGGCGUAAAGGGAGCGCAGGCGGCGCGCCAAGUCUGAUGUGAAACCCCGGGGCUCAACCCCGGGCAUGCAUUGGAAACUGGCGGGCUGGAGUGCCGGAGAGGUAAGCGGAAUUCCUAGUGUAGCGGUGAAAUGCGUAGAUAUUAGGAGGAACACCAGUGGCGAAGGCGGCUUACUGGACGGCAACUGACGGUGAGGCGCGAAAGCGUGGGGAGCAAACAGGAUUAGAUACCCUCGUA